RNAcentral lists this ribosomal RNA (482 nucleotides) under uncultured bacterium. Its description in RNAcentral is "partial 16S ribosomal RNA". It matches the Rfam family "Bacterial small subunit ribosomal RNA", at positions 28 to 507 of the family's 1533-position model. The record is from RNAcentral.
GACGAACGCUGGCGGCGUGCUUAACACAUGCAAGUCGAACGCUGAAGCUCAGCUUUUGUUGGGUGGAUGAGUGGCGAACGGGUGAGUAACACGUGAGUAACCUGCCUCCUUCUUUGGGAUAACGCCCGGAAACGGGUGCUAAUACUGGAUAUUCACUGGUCUUCGCAUGGGGGUUGGUGGAAAGGUUUUUCUGGUGGGGGAUGGGCUCGCGGCCUAUCAGCUUGUUGGUGGGGUGAUGGCCUACCAAGGCUUUGACGGGUAGCCGGCCUGAGAGGGUGACCGGUCACAUUGGGACUGAGAUACGGCCCAGACUCCUACGGGAGGCAGCAGUGGGGAAUAUUGCACAAUGGGCGCAAGCCUGAUGCAGCGACGCCGCGUGAGGGAUGGAGGCCUUCGGGUUGUGAACCUCUUUCGCUCAUGGUCAAGCCGCAACAAUGGUUGUGGUGAGGGUAGUGGGUAAAGAAGCGCCGGCUAACUACGUG